Molecule: non-coding RNA, 109 nt
Organism: Gymnopilus junonius
Lineage: Eukaryota; Fungi; Basidiomycota; Agaricomycetes; Agaricales; Galerinaceae
Source: the annotation of a GenBank genome assembly
GGCAAGAUGGCCGAGCGGUUAAGGCGUGUGACUCAAGCGAAAGCUUGCCUGUGUACAGCAGGUCUUCUCAUAACGUAAUGUUGCGUGGGUUCGAAUCCCACUCUUGUCA